This 249-nucleotide long non-coding RNA is filed under the name Glycine max (soybean). RNAcentral describes it as "long non-coding RNA (GMAX_LNC004511)". The record is from RNAcentral. Lineage: Eukaryota; Viridiplantae; Streptophyta; Magnoliopsida; Fabales; Fabaceae.
UCGGGUCUCGUCGACGCCGCGCAUUUUGCGCACGAGAGGACGAAGCAGUCGGAGGGGAGGGACUUGAUGACGUGGCAGUGAGUGAUUGUGAGGUUAUGCAAAUCGUACGAUUCGGCACAGGAUUUGAAAACGACGGAGAAGAGAACGUCGUCGUGGGGAGUGGGGUGGAGGGAGAGGUGCAUGAAGUGGUGGAGCGAAACGACGACGGAGGGGGUGCCGUUGGUGAGGUCGUGGAUGAGGAAGGAGGCG